Molecule: ribosomal RNA, 253 nt
Filed under: uncultured bacterium
Lineage: Bacteria
Description: partial 16S ribosomal RNA
Rfam family: Bacterial small subunit ribosomal RNA
Source: RNAcentral
UACGUAGGGGGCAAGCGUUGUCCGGAAUCAUUGGGCGUAAAGCGCGCGUAGGCGGCUCUGUAAGUCCGUUGUGAAAGUCAAAGGCUCAACCUUUGAAAGCCGAUGGAUACUGCAGAGCUAGAGUCCGGAAGAGGCGAGUGGAAUUCCUGGUGUAGCGGUGGAAUGCGCGGAUAUCAGGAGGAACACCAAUAGCGAAGGCAGCUCGCUGGGACGGUACUGACGCUAAGGCGCGAAAGCGUGGGGAGCGAACAGG